Molecule: long non-coding RNA, 2105 nt
Filed under: Lactuca sativa (garden lettuce)
Lineage: Eukaryota; Viridiplantae; Streptophyta; Magnoliopsida; Asterales; Asteraceae
Description: long non-coding RNA (LSAT_LNC006261)
Source: RNAcentral
UUGAUCCCAUUUUAUCUGAUCCAUUUACAAUAUUAAGAUUAGACUAUAAUUAUGCAUUACAACGCAUAUAACAUGAAUGACUAAAACAAGACAACAUUCAUUCCGAAAUAAACUUCAAUUAUAGUUUAAUAACGUUUCCAAAACAAAAAAAUGUCUAAUAUUACAAACAUGCAUUAGAAAAAUAUAGACAUCAAAAUGGAUCUUCAAAAAACUCAGCAUCCCACCGACCCACUCAUUCAUAGAUCACCUGAAAAAAAAAAUCACAUAUAAGUAUAUAUUAAACUAAUUAAUGGAAAACUUUAAGUGAGUUAAAGAAAUACUUUCUUUUGUUUCUUUGAGGUUAGUCAAUCUUGUGUAGUCACCAAUGUUUCUACAGUUUCACAUAUUUAUUUAUAUAAAGAGUUAAGUGUAAUUCGAUCAUUAGAAACUAAAGUGGAAGUGGAAUGAUCUUACUCCUUGAGGGGCUGUUUGGCAGGAUCUGAAUUUUUAAGAGCUGAAUUUUUAAGAGGUCUGAAUUUCUAAGAGGGUCUGAAUUUUUAAGAUCUGAAUGUACAAAUGUUGUUUGGUUGGAACCUCUGAAUUGCAAUGCUGAAUUAUAAAAAUGACCAUUUUACCCUUCUGUGUUUUUUUGCUGAAUUUGACAUUUUUUAUUAUAAAAUAACUGAAUCAAUUUAUUGAAUAAUUAUAAAAAUAUAUACAAACACUGUAUAAAAUCCAGAUUAAACNUAGACAUAAAUCCAAAUCAAACAUACCAUUAUCAUUUCUUGAUUAUACCCAAAGCAGUUAAUUGCAAUAAUACAAGAAAAUCAAGAUUUUAUAUCACAAAUGACAAACCAAUUUUUAAUUGUUGUACCCAAAACAAUUAAAAGCUCCAAAAUAAUGAUAACCUAAAGUAAAAAAAUCUUCUCUUCUCUUGUCAAUUUUCACUUGUUUCCCAGAAUACCAUUUUUUGCGUAAACCAUAAUUUCUUUACUUAAAUUCACCACAUGUUCAAUAUAUAGCAACGUCUUCAGAUUUCAUCAAGGUCUUCAAUAUUUAUGUAAAAUCACUUGUUUCCCAAAAUACCCUCGUUAUUUUGUUGAACCUUUUUAACUAAUACAAAUAACAAAUUUACAAAAGAUAAACAAUAUUUAUGUAAAAUCACUAAAACUCAAAUACAUAAGAAAGUAUAAAUGCAAACUUUUAGGGGAUUAAAGAAACUACCUGCAGUAGGUGUAUGAAGGUAGAAAAAAUGAUAAUCUGUUUAAAAAAGUUAACAAGACAAGUAAAAAAGGAACAUGGGAAAACUUGACAAUAUAUAUGCAAAAUUAUAGUGACUCGAUUACGUUAAUUCUCAUAUGUUUUUUCUGUUCAUCUUCCACAUCUAACAGUCACAUGUAAGAUUCUUUGCAUGCACAACACAUCAAAUUGUUAAUCAUUUUUUUGGAAAAAAAAAGUCCUCAAUAACUAAUGUUGAUCCUUUUCCAGGGAAACACCAUAACCUUCAUUUUAAAUGCCUAAUUAUACUAGUAGUCUAGGGAGAUAAUCAUCAACUAAAUAAUACAUCCAACAUAUUUCUGAAUUUCUUGAGAUUGCACCAAAUCAGAUUUCAGAAAAAGAAAAAAAACAAAUUUUCACCUCAAUUCCAUUCCUGUGCAGUAAAAUUGAAAGUGGUCAAACAACCCUAGCAGCCGAUCAGACUUCAAAAUCGUGUAUCAUAGCUAAUAACAAAUUAGGGGGAAUGGUUUCAUGUGUAGACUAGAAGAAUAGAUUUCACAGAAAUCGAUUUUAGAAAAUUAGAGAUAAACAAACCCUGUGUAUCAAGGCGGUUCAGUGGCUAUCGUCAGCGCUGUCGAGGGCAGAUACCAUCACUGGCGACGAUGGCAUUGUUGAAGACUCGUGUGUGUGUGAGGUCGAAGAUGGGGGCGGCUAUGUUGUCCGAGGUCAACAACGGGAAGAUGUUGGCGGAUUUGGUCGGUGAUGAGAGGAGAUGAUCGACGCUGGAGUUGUUCGGAUGUGGGAAAAGAACAACGGGACGAUGAAUCGUAGAAUCGAUGUGUGUUGAUGGACGAAUGUGUUUGAGGGCAAAAGAGGGAAGAGCGUGUUUCUUUUUUAUUCAAAUAUAA